UGAAACAAGGUGCGUGGUUGACUGGUCAAUUCAUAACUCUGAUGUUCGUAAUUCUGAGGUUCUACUGUAGUUGGUGUCUCUAUGAACUUUAUCCAAUGUGCUGUGAACUAAAGUAAGAAGAACAGAUUUCCCCACAUGUGCGUAUACACCCCAUCACGUUUCCCAUAAGGGAGAGCACUUCCAUUGCGCUGGAGGAGUGGGAAUGCUGGCAAUUCAAGGAGGCUGUUGCAAUGUAUUGUGUUGGUCAAAGAUCUUUUGGAGAACACUGUAGGAUUGAAAUUGGAUCUUCUCUGCUUCAAGUGACUACAAUAGAAAAGCAACAGAUCAAUGGUAUGCUCCACCCAUAUUUGACUGGCCAAGGGGGGAAAUGAUGAAGCAGGUUAAUGUGACAUAGCAGCACUGUAACACAUGUAUCUGAAGCUGUCAAAGUGAAGGAAAGCUAGACUCUGGAUUAGAUGCUCUAAGUGUGAAUCAGAACACCUCCAUUGUUGUCUUCUGCAUCAGGUGAGAAUCCUGUUAAUCCGCAUGGCUUACUGACAUUAAUGAAGGUCAUUAAUCCAACACCUGCCAGUAGCCUCCCCAGGAAUUGAAAAUGGGGGGGGGAGUGUUCAAAUUUACAAGGGGUGUGAGAGUCAGGGCUGAUGAAAGGUGAGACCCUGAAGGUCGUGAAGGUGAUGGUGGGCUGUAUGGCACCAUAAUUCACAAAACUGGG
Molecule: long non-coding RNA, 712 nt
Organism: Pelodiscus sinensis (Chinese soft-shelled turtle)
Lineage: Eukaryota; Metazoa; Chordata; Testudines; Trionychidae
Source: RefSeq, a predicted model, not a curated record